Molecule: ribosomal RNA, 500 nt
Filed under: uncultured bacterium
Lineage: Bacteria
Description: bacterial SSU rRNA
Rfam family: Bacterial small subunit ribosomal RNA
Source: RNAcentral
ACGGUACAGGGAGCUUGCUCCGCUGACGAGUGGCGAACGGGUGAGUAAUGCAUCGGAACGUGCCUAUUUGUGGGGGAUAACGUAGCGAAAGUUACGCUAAUACCGCAUACGCCCUGAGGGGGAAAGCGGGGGAUUCGUAAGAACCUCGCGCAAUUAGAGCGGCCGAUGUCGGAUUAGCUAGUUGGUGGGGUAAAGGCUCACCAAGGCGACGAUCCGUAGCGGGUCUGAGAGGAUGAUCCGCCACACUGGGACUGAGACACGGCCCAGACUCCUACGGGAGGCAGCAGUGGGGAAUUUUGGACAAUGGGGGCAACCCUGAUCCAGCCAUGCCGCGUGAGUGAAGAAGGCCUUCGGGUUGUAAAGCUCUUUCAGCCGGGAAGAAAUCACAUGGGUUAAUACCCUGUGUGGAUGACGGUACCGGAAUAAGAAGCACCGGCUAACUACGUGCCAGCAGCCGCGGUAAUACGUAGGGUGCGAGCGUUAAUCGGAAUUACUGGGCG